GACGAACGCUGGCGGCGUGCCUAAUACAUGCCAGUUGAGCGAUGAAGCUUGGUGCUUGCACCAAUUUGAAGAGCAGCGAACGGGUGAGUAACGCGUGGGGAAUCUGCCUUUGAGCGGGGGACAACAUUUGGAAACGAAUGCUAAUACCGCAUAACAACUUUAAACAUAAGUUUUAAGUUUGAAAGAUGCAAUUGCAUCACUCAAAGAUGAUCCCGCGUUGUAUUAGCUAGUUGGUGAGGUAAAGGCUCACCAAGGCGAUGAUACAUAGCCGACCUGAGAGGGUGAUCGGCCACAGUGGGACUGAGACACGGCCCAAACUCCUACGGGAGGCAGCAGUAGGGAAUCUUCGGCAAUGGACGAAAGUCUGACCGAGCAACGCCGCGUGAGUGAAGAAGGUUUUCGGAUCGUAAAACUCUGUUGGUAGAGAAGAACGUUGGUGAGAGUGGAAAGCUCAUCAAGUGACGGUAACUACCCAGAAAGGGACGGCUAACUACGUG
RNAcentral lists this ribosomal RNA (497 nucleotides) under uncultured bacterium. RNAcentral describes it as "partial 16S ribosomal RNA". It matches the Rfam family "Bacterial small subunit ribosomal RNA", at positions 28 to 507 of the family's 1533-position model. The record is from RNAcentral.